UACGUAGGGGGCAAGCGUUGUCCGGAAUUAUUGGGCGUAAAGCGCGCGCAGGCGGUUUUUUAAGUCUGGUGUUUAAGCCCGGGGCUCAACCCCGGAUCGCACCGGAAACUGGGAGACUUCGAGUGCAGGAGAGGAAAGCGGAAUUCCACGUGUAGCGGUGAAAUGCGUAGAGAUGUGGAGGAACACCAGUGGCGAAGGCGGCUUUCUGGCCUGUAACUGACGCUGAGGCGCGAAAGCGUGGGGAGCAAACAGG
Molecule: ribosomal RNA, 253 nt
Filed under: uncultured bacterium
Lineage: Bacteria
Description: partial 16S ribosomal RNA
Rfam family: Bacterial small subunit ribosomal RNA
Source: RNAcentral